GCCCCGCCCCUUUUUCAGGGUUGGAAAACGCAGCAGUGAUUUUGGACCAUCGAUAUUUCUAUCGAUUCCAUCUCCUCUCAUAGUUGUUUUACAUUGCCAUUUUGUUAAUCCACCUGACUCAGAGCAGACCCAAUACCCGAACUCGGCCUCUUCGCUUAUCCUUUGUUGAUAGAAAUCACAUCGCGCACCGUUAGAGAAAAGGGCGAAGAGGAGACGAGAAAAGAAGUGAAAACAGUUGCAUUCCGCGGAGAGGCAUUUGCUGGCACCCCAGCAUGUUCAGCAUAAGCGAGCUGUGCUGCAUGUUUUGCUGCCCCCCCUGUCCGGGGAACAUUGCGGCCAAGCUGGCCUUCCAGCCCCCGGAGCCCACGUAUAAGCUGACCCCCGCCGAUGACACGAAUGCCAGGUACAACUUGCAGCUCUUUGACCGCGCCGAAUGGCAGUACUCCGAGCGGGAGAAGUCCAAGGUGGAGGCCUUCUUCACCCGCACCUCGCGAGGCAACCUGAUCACCUGUACCUACGUCCGGUGCAGUAAAAACGCCAAGUACACGCUACUGUUCUCCCAUGGUAAUGCAGUUGAUCUCGGGCAGAUGAGCAGCUUCUAUCUGACCCUCGGCUCGCAGAUCAAUUGCAAUAUCUUUGGUUACGACUACUCGGGGUACGGCAUGAGCGGCGGCAAGCCCUCUGAGAAGAAUCUGUACGCGGACAUAGAAGCCGCCUGGCAAGCAAUGCGAACGCGGUACAACAUUAGUCCCGAGACAAUAAUCUUGUACGGGCAGAGUAUUGGCACGGUGCCGACUGUGGACCUGGCCUCCCGCCACGAAGUCGGCGCCGUAAUUCUCCACUCGCCGCUCAUGUCUGGCCUGAGAGUCGUGUUUAGGAACACAAAGAGAACUUGGUUCUUUGACGCAUUUCCCAGCAUUGAUAAGGUCGCUAAGGUAAAGGCUCCAGUUCUGGUUAUUCACGGCACCGAUGACGAGGUCAUCGACUUCUCCCACGGCAUUGGAAUCUACGAGCGGUGUCCUAAGACAGUGGAGCCGUUUUGGGUGGAGGGCGCUGGUCAUAAUGAUGUUGAGCUUCAUCCGCAUUACUAUGAACGCCUGCGGAAGUUCUUGUCGGUGGAGCUCAUCACAUGACAAUUAAAGAAUAAUGUGGAUGGAGGUGUUAGUGACACUACUUCUGGUGUAGUAUCGAAUUCAAACCCUGCCGGAGCCAGUGUGUCCCUAAGUUCAAAACAUCCCAAUCCAUCCUCAGCUACCGCAGGAAGCGAAUCAAGUAAAAAAAAUGCGGAAGCUAACAAAAAACGGAGUGAAAACGAUGGUGCCUCAAAUUCCAGCCAGAGUUCUACAAAGGCUCUCGAGCAGAAGUUUCUUUAGCAAAAGCAGUCGGGCUCGUGUUUUAAAGCCCAACCAUUAUCACCACAGUUCUCAAAACUUGAAUUAUUAAAUAAACCGUGCGGUAACAGACAGAACAAACAACAUAGAAAAGAUGACCCACCUUUAAGUAAUGAAAAGUCGAAUGGCUUUUUUGUUUCCCGAUUAAAACAACCAAAUAUGGCGCCAACACUUCCAGUUCUCUCUCCACAUUCUCCAAUGAAUGCAAACUUAUAUAUUAAUAGCCAACAUACGCAACUUUCCGGGCGUUAUUUAAACAACAAAGUGUCUCAGCAGGUCGAUGCAAAUAGUGUUAGGCGAGUGUCGUCGAGCAGAUCUCUCAAGGACAGUCAAAAAGUUUUAUCCAUUUCAUCGACAUUAGUAUGCAAUUGUGAGAAGGAAUACAAAUCGAAUGGGUCUGACUCGGAAGCCAACGAAGAAAUCAAAAUCAAAUUAAAUUCAGAUACAGGUACAGGUACUAAGCUGGCCAAUAGCGCCAAGAUCCAAGACUUGAAAGUAUGUAAGACAUCCGAUAAAAAGAAUUCUGCAAUAGACGAGUCUGCCAAGGGGUGUUUGCAAUUAAAUUGUGCUACGGGAAAGGAUAAGAGAGCAGUGUCUCCAAGACUGUCAUUGCAUAAAAGUGGCUUUCAGCAAGCCAUCAUUAUAUCGGAUGAAAGCGAGGUUACAAAAUCUCCGCGAGGUGCUAACAAAACAACGAGACAGCUGUCCAGCAAUGCAGACAAUCAAUUUUAUCGUCAACUGACUCAUAAAAUAAGUAAAUCGGAGCAAACUUCCCCCAACAAUGUGGAAAUUGACAAAGCUAAUUUCUUAUACGACACUAACAACAGGAGUACUAGCUGUCUGGUUAAUCCCUCUGAUCCAUGGGUUAAGAAUUCCGAUAUAAGAAGUGAUAUCUCAUCCAAAAAGGAAAAGCAUUUAAAUUCCCAACAUUACAUUGAUCCCUGGGUUCGACGGCAAGCAGAUGUCCCCGUGGAAGUCUCACAGUUUCCCAAGAAGAAUAUCUAUCGCGAAAAAUCUCUAUCUUCCCUAAACAAUAAACUUAUUUCAACCAGAACUGAAAAGGCAAAGUGUGUGAAGCCGCAACUGAAGCAUUCGAAGACAGUGCUAGACGAAGAUCACGUAUUUUUAAAUGAACCCGGACUGCUGUUUGCUCCAUUCUCACCGCCGCAUAAUAAAAACAAAAACUGGUGCCUCGACCAAUCCAAUAACGAUCUAAAAGGAAAUAUUCAAAGUAAAUCAGCAAGUGUUAUUCCAGACAAAGUAAAGGAGACUUCCAGUCCGAUAGCAAACCAUGUUAGAAAAUCUGUAUAUCAAAAUAAUAGUAACUUGCUUUGUCCAAACGAUCAAGCCAGAUCUUUACUUCAAGUAGAAAAAUUGCACUCUAGACAUAGCUCCCUAUCGAUUCCCAAUCAAUCCAAUGACGAACUUCCGCUAAAUAUCCGUCGACUCUCCGAGCAGAUUCGUGAGCUGCCCUUGGAGCGAAAUCUUCAAUUGUCCCUCAGCGAUCGGAACGUAAGCAAUAUGGCGCCAAGUGAAAGGUCUGGAGGCAGGGAACAGCAACCAAUACCCCAAAAGUUGGGCUCCUACAUUUCGGAUAAGUACCACGGAAAUAAAAUCAUGGCAAGCCAGCACGAAGACUUUAUCUCUUUAAAACGAGCCUCCAAAGAUUCCACAACUGUUAAUAUUGUAAAACCAUUUACGACUAUUCAUAAGCCUGAUCCACUUCUAGAAACCACCUGUUAAACCCAUUUGCUAGAAACCCGAGAGUCGAUAUUAAAGUGUCUCUGCAUUAGCUCAUUCAUAGAUCAUCAAAAUAUAAAAAAAAAACGUAAUAUAUAUACAUAAAAAGAAAACCACACACACAAACAUAUACAUACUUCUUAUAUAUCGAUCGAAUCUAAAUAUGAAUAAUAAAUAACAUCAAAAAAAAGAAAAGAGAAAAAAAAACAUAAUAAAAACUAUUUUUAGUAGUAUCUUAAGUUUGAAAUUUUUACAGUGAUUUUGCAUUUAUAUUAAGUAACACGAUAAUGCCCUUCCACCCAUGGGGACAAGUUCUAGGCUUAAUAACAUUCGCAAGCAUAUAUAUGUGUGUAAUAGUGUAUUUUUUCCUCAUUUUAUUGUCAUUUUACAUAUUUGUUGUAAUACAUUUUAUAGUAAUAAAAUCUUUAUAAAGAGCUAAAUGAAUCAUAA
Molecule: RNA transcript, 3581 nt
Organism: Drosophila ananassae
Lineage: Eukaryota; Metazoa; Arthropoda; Insecta; Diptera; Drosophilidae
Gene name: alpha/beta hydrolase domain-containing protein 17B
Exons: 6
Source: RefSeq, a predicted model, not a curated record